This 217-nucleotide long non-coding RNA is filed under the name Gossypium raimondii (Peruvian cotton). RNAcentral's name for it is "long non-coding RNA (GRAI_LNC002514)". Lineage: Eukaryota; Viridiplantae; Streptophyta; Magnoliopsida; Malvales; Malvaceae. The record is from RNAcentral.
UUGAUUUGUCCUUCGAUAGUCUCCGAAAAAGGUUUUGGCAAGCCAUAUUUGUUUAAGAAUUGGAUCAGUCUCGAGUAAGGUUUUUUUAACUCAAAUUUAGUCUCGCUCAAAUAUAAAAGUAAAAGAUUUAUUGUUUUUUCUUACUAUUUUCUUGUUAUGUUUUUCAUUAUUUUACUACAAUUUCGUAAUUAUGUUAUUACUACUUUGUUAUUAUUUU